GGUGAUCCCAUCUGUUCGUCAUGUGACAGGCAACUCAGAGCCAAGCAGAGGAACAGACAGAACACUGAGUCAACAUGUUUCUGUCUUCUGUGGGGGAAGAAGGUGGGAUGCUGCUGCUUAGCAGGAAGAUGUCUUCCAAUUACAGCCGCUCCUGCAGAAGCUCUGCCUGGUGCUGUUUUGUUUAUCUUCCCUGUGAAGGUUGUGAGAAGAGAACCAAACCCACCAAAGGAGGGUCUUGCCAGGCGGUGCAGCUCUGGCAAACCAGCUCUGGGGAACCUGCGGUGCUUCCUGGGGGCCAUCCGUGGUAUGGGUGGUGACUGCUGAAGUGAAAUCAUGCUGAAAAGCAGACAGUUGCAGUCAAUAUUGAAAAACGAUCUUACCUAUCUUUUUGGACAGAGAAGAUGCUCCAGCAUUGAUUAGCUGUAAUGGACUGCAGCACACCGAUUGCAAGGUAAGAUAGAUUGAUUGCUGGUGGG
Molecule: long non-coding RNA, 476 nt
Filed under: Falco tinnunculus (common kestrel)
Lineage: Eukaryota; Metazoa; Chordata; Aves; Falconiformes; Falconidae
Description: lncRNA (ENSFTIG00000014824.1)
Source: RNAcentral